RNAcentral lists this ribosomal RNA (449 nucleotides) under Abiotrophia defectiva. RNAcentral's name for it is "bacterial SSU rRNA". It matches the Rfam family "Bacterial small subunit ribosomal RNA", at positions 28 to 461 of the family's 1533-position model. Lineage: Bacteria; Bacillati; Bacillota; Bacilli; Lactobacillales; Aerococcaceae. The record is from RNAcentral.
GACGAACGCUGGCGGCGUGCCUAAUACAUGCAAGUCGAACGAACCGCGACUGAGUGCUUGCACUUGGUCAAGGUGAGUGGCGAACGGGUGAGUAACACGUGGGUAACCUACCUCAUAGUGGGGGAUAACGGUCGGAAACGACUGCUAAUACCGCAUAGGACAUGGGAUCACAUGAUUCUGUGAGGAAAGGUGGCGCAAGCUAUCGCUAAGAGAUGGACCCGCGGUGCAUUAGCUAGUUGGUAGGGUAACGGCCUACCAAGGCGAUGAUGCAUAGCCGACCUGAGAGGGUGAUCGGCCACAUUGGGACUGAGACACGGCCCAAACUCCUACGGGAGGCAGCAGUAGGGAAUCUUCCGCAAUGGACGCAAGUCUGGCGGAGCAACGCCGCGUGAGUGAAGAAGGUCUUCGGAUCGUAAAGCUCUGUUGUUAGAGAAGAACAGCGCAUAGAG